This 465-nucleotide ribosomal RNA is filed under the name uncultured ciliate. RNAcentral describes it as "SSU rRNA". It matches the Rfam family "Eukaryotic small subunit ribosomal RNA". Lineage: Eukaryota; Ciliophora. The record is from RNAcentral.
AUUUGUCUGGUUAAUUCCGAUAACGAACGAGACCUUAACCUGCUAACUAGAUUCUUUCAUCUUAUGAUUGUUAUCUUCUUAGAGGGACUAUGUAACAUAAAUACAUGGAAGUUUGAGGCAAUAACAGGUCAGUGAUGCCCUUAUAUGUCCUGGGCUGCACGCGUACUACACUGAUGUAUACAGCAAGUGCCGAGCCAGACAUGGCAUGGCAAUCUCGAAUAUGCAUCGUGAUGGGGAUAGAUCUUUGCAAUUAUAGAUCUUGAACGAGGAAUUCCUAGUAAGUGCAAGUCAUCAUCUUGCAUUGAUUAUGUCCCUGCCCUUUGUACACACCGCCCGUCGCUCCUACCGAUACCGGGUGAUCCGGUGAACCUUUUGGACCCGCAUGGGGAAGAUAAGUAAACCAUAUCACCUAGAGGAAGGAGAAGUCGUAACAAGGUUUCCGUAGGUGAACCUGCRGAAGGAUCA